RNAcentral lists this unclassified non-coding RNA (258 nucleotides) under Hevea brasiliensis (rubber tree). The record is from RNAcentral. Lineage: Eukaryota; Viridiplantae; Streptophyta; Magnoliopsida; Malpighiales; Euphorbiaceae.
AAAUGUGAUAUAGGGAGCCAAAGACGAGCUGAAGCAAAACCCUAGAAAGAGAGGAAGAGGAAGGGGGAGGUGAUGAGAGAGAUCCAAAGAUAAAAGGGUUCUUGUUAUUAUUAGGAAUAGUUUAUUUCAUUAUUUAAUUUUUGGGAUUUUUGAGGGAAUGGGGUGUAUGGAUUACAGAGAGCACUGCUAAGGGUUUCGCGCUUUGCUUUUCAGCUCAAUGAGCAAAGCACAAAGGCACGUGUAUAGGGUGCUGCAAUG